AACGCACGAGACCUGCGGACCUGCGGAAGGAUCAUUACAUGGCGGAGGAGGUGGGCACCUAGUAAAAACAAAACCCUAGGUGUGUUGCCUACCACGCUUUCUACCCUUGUCUAUUUGCACCUUUUGUCGUUCCCUCGGUGGGUCUUGAACCUGCCGGCGGCAACUUUCAAAAACCUUUUGUAGUUAGUAUCUAAUUCUUCUGAUCAAAUAUUCAAUCGUUACAACUUUCAACAAUGGAUC
This 240-nucleotide unclassified non-coding RNA is filed under the name soil metagenome. Its description in RNAcentral is "partial contains 5.8S ribosomal RNA, internal transcribed spacer 2, and large subunit ribosomal RNA". The record is from RNAcentral.